CCCGGCAUCGGGGUGCGAUUAAAGUUUCGGCGCCUAGAGAUCGCUGUGCGUCCGAUUAGCUAGUUGGCGGGGUAACGGCCCACCAAGGCUUCGAUCGGUAGGGGGUGUGAGAGCAUGGCCCCCCACACGGGUACUGAGACACGGACCCGACUCCUACGGGAGGCAGCAGUAAGGAAUAUUGGACAAUGGGCGGAAGCCUGAUCCAGCCAUGCCGCGUGGAGGACGAAGGCGCUCAGCGUUGUAAACUCCUUUUGAGUGGGAACAAAACCCCGGACUUGUCCGGGCCUGAGGGUACCACUAGAAUAAGCACCGGCUAACUCCGUGCCAGCAGCCGCGGUAAUACGGAGGGUGCGAGCGUUAUCCGGAAUCACUGGGUUUAAAGGGUGCGUAGGCGGCCAUAUAAGUCAGUCGUGAAAUCGCUGGGCUCAACCCAUGCAAUUGCGAUUGAUACUGUUUGGCUUGAAUUGGGUUCAGGCAGGCGGAAUGUGGCAUGUAGCGGUGAAAUGCUUAGAUAUGCCAUAGAACACCGAUUGCGAAGGCAGCUUGCUGGGCCUUGAUUGACGCUGAGGCACGAAAGCGUGGGGAGCAAACAGGAUUAGAUACCCUGGUAGUCCACGCCCUAAACGAUGUUUACUUGCUGUUUGGGCUAUAUGCUUGAGUGGCGAAGCGAAAGCGAUAAGUAAACCACCUGGGGAGUACGCCGGCAACGG
This 710-nucleotide ribosomal RNA is filed under the name uncultured bacterium. RNAcentral describes it as "bacterial SSU rRNA". It matches the Rfam family "Bacterial small subunit ribosomal RNA", at positions 184 to 894 of the family's 1533-position model. The record is from RNAcentral.